AGGAAAUAGAAUAUGGUAUUUCGGAUCGGCAGAAACAGCCCCUAAGAAUAUCAAGCUGCUGCCUGUAGAGCCACAAUAGAUGAUGAUUGCCCUUGAUAAUUUUUGAUGAAACCAUUGAAGGCAGUACUAUGUGAAUGAAACAUGUGCGACAUUCUUGUAGACAUUUUGAAGUAUUAUCAUCACAGGGCGUGACAGUUGUCAGAACCAGCACCUGAGACUAGCAAGUGUCUUUCUGGAGAGGACGUUCAGCACUUCCCCCUACCCUCCGGCCUGGGCAGAGGACCAGCGGCGGAGGAGCCAGACCAGGGCACUUCUAACAGACCGUUAAGAGUACAUCCCGUUUCAAGAGAUGUAUUCUGGAAGAGCCUCGAGUCAUGUAGGACCAGCCAAGUGAAAAAAGUACAUCCAGUUUGAAGAGAUGCAUUGUGGAAGAGCAUGGAGUCAUGUAGGACCAGCCAACAGAGAUGGGCGUGACAGUUGUCAGAACCAGCACCUGAGACUAGCAAGUGUCUUUCUGGAGAGGACGUUCAGCACUUCCCCCUACCCUCCGGCCUGGGCAGAGGACCAGCGGCGGAGGAGCCAGACCAGGGCACUUCUAACAGACCGUUAAGAGUACAUCCCGUUUCAAGAGAUGUAUUCUGGAAGAGCCUCGAGUCAUGUAGGACCAGCCAAGUGAAAAAGGCGUGACAGUUGUCAGAACCAGCACAUGAGACUAGCAAGUGUCUUUCUGGAGAGGACGUUCAGCACUUCCCCCUACCCUCCGACCUGGGCAGAGGACCAGCGGCGGAGGAGCCAGACCAGGGCACUUCUAACAGACCGUUAAGAGUACAUCCCGUUUCAAGAGAUGUAUUCUGGAAGAGCCUCGAGUCAUGUAGGACCAGCCAAGUGAAAAAGGCGUGACAGUUGUCAGAACCAGCACAUGAGACUAGCAAGUGUCUUUCUGGAGAGGACGUUCAGCACUUCCCCCUACCCUCCGACCUGGGCAGAGGACCAGCGGCGGAGGAGCCAGACCAGGGCACUUCUAACAGACCGUUAAGAGUACAUCCCGUUUCAAGAGAUGUAUUCUGGAAGAGCCUCGAGUCAUGUAGGACCAGCCAAGUGAAAAAGGCGUGACAGUUGUCAGAACCAGCACCUGAGACUAGCAAGUGUCUUUCUGGAGAGGACGUUCAGCACUUCCCCCUACCCUCCGGCCUGGGCAGAGGACCAGCGGCGGAGGAGCCAGACCAGGGCACUUCUAACAGACCGUUAAGAGUACAUCCCGUUUCAAGAGAUGUAUUCUGGAAGAGCCUCGAGUCAUGUAGGACCAGCCAAGUGAAAAAGGCGUGACAGUUGUCAGAACCAGCACCUGAGACUAGCAAGUGUCUUUCUGGAGAGGACGUUCAGCACUUCCCCCUACCCUCCGGCCUGGGCAGAGGACCAGCGGCGGAGGAGCCAGACCAGGGCACUUCUAACAGACCGUUAAGAGUACAUCCCGUUUCAAGAGAUGUAUUCUGGAAGAGCCUCGAGUCAUGUAGGACCAGCCAAGUGAAAAAGGCGUGACAGUUGUCAGAACCAGCACCUGAGACUAGCAAGUGUCUUUCUGGAGAGGACGUUCAGCACUUCCCCCUACCCUCCGGCCUGGGCAGAGGACCAGCGGCGGAGGAGCCAGACCAGGGCACUUCUAACAGACCGUUAAGAGUACAUCCCGUUUCAAGAGAUGUAUUCUGGAAGAGCCUCGAGUCAUGUAGGACCAGCCAAGUGAAAAAGGCGUGACAGUUGUCAGAACCAGCACCUGAGACUAGCAAGUGUCUUUCUGGAGAGGACGUUCAGCACUUCCCCCUACCCUCCGGCCUGGGCAGAGGACCAGCGGCGGAGGAGCCAGACCAGGGCACUUCUAACAGACCGUUAAGAGUACAUCCCGUUUCAAGAGAUGUAUUCUGGAAGAGCCUCGAGUCAUGUAGGACCAGCCAAGUGAAAAAGGCGUGACAGUUGUCAGAACCAGCACCUGAGACUAGCAAGUGUCUUUCUGGAGAGGACGUUCAGCACUUCCCCCUACCCUCCGGCCUGGGCAGAGGACCAGCGGCGGAGGAGCCAGACCAGGGCACUUCUAACAGACCGUUAAGAGUACAUCCCGUUUCAAGAGAUGUAUUCUGGAAGAGCCUCGAGUCAUGUAGGACCAGCCAAGUGAAAAAGGCGUGACAGUUGUCAGAACCAGCACCUGAGACUAGCAAGUGUCUUUCUGGAGAGGACGUUCAGCACUUCCCCCUACCCUCCGGCCUGGGCAGAGGACCAGCGGCGGAGGAGCCAGACCAGGGCACUUCUAACAGACCGUUAAGAGUACAUCCCGUUUCAAGAGAUGUAUUCUGGAAGAGCCUCGAGUCAUGUAGGACCAGCCAAGUGAAAAAGGCGUGACAGUUGUCAGAACCAGCACCUGAGACUAGCAAGUGUCUUUCUGGAGAGGACGUUCAGCACUUCCCCCUACCCUCCGGCCUGGGCAGAGGACCAGCGGCGGAGGAGCCAGACCAGGGCACUUCUAACAGACCGUUAAGAGUACAUCCCGUUUCAAGAGAUGUAUUCUGGAAGAGCCUCGAGUCAUGUAGGACCAGCCAAGUGAAAAAGGCGUGACAGUUGUCAGAACCAGCACCUGAGACUAGCAAGUGUCUUUCUGGAGAGGACGUUCAGCACUUCCCCCUACCCUCCGGCCUGGGCAGAGGACCAGCGGCGGAGGAGCCAGACCAGGGCACUUCUAACAGACCGUUAAGAGUACAUCCCGUUUCAAGAGAUGUAUUCUGGAAGAGCCUCGAGUCAUGUAGGACCAGCCAAGUGAAAAAGGCGUGACAGUUGUCAGAACCAGCACCUGAGACUAGCAAGUGUCUUUCUGGAGAGGACGUUCAGCACUUCCCCCUACCCUCCGGCCUGGGCAGAGGACCAGCGGCGGAGGAGCCAGACCAGGGCACUUCUAACAGACCGUUAAGAGCACAUCCAAUUUCAACAAAUGCAUCCUGGAAGAGCGUUGAGUCAAGUAGGACCAAACUGAGUCGAUAGUUCUGUAAAACACCUACUCUAUCAAUCGAUCAAUCAAGUAUCCUGGAUCAAUAACAACAUCAAUCACAUAGGAGCAGCCAGGAGAGAUGAUGGGAAUUGCAUUAUUGUGUGUCUGUCUUGCUUUUGAAGUAUGGUAUACCGCGGUGACUUAAGCAUAUCUGGGAAAAUGUUAUGAUGAUUUUGAGAUUAAUUUUUUCUUUUUCAAAAGUGAUUCUGAAUAUUUUUUUCAAUGCAUUACCCAAAAGAGUAAUCAAAUUGGGGUGUAUUUAUUUUUUCCCAGCUAUAUGCUUCAGUCACCUCGGGGUGCAAUUGUUACAACAGUUUACGGGCUACAGUCAAACCUUGUACAGCCCCGCCAUUAUAAUGUUUGUCAUAGUCCUUUUGGUUUUUGUGUUGUAAUUGUAGUGGUCUUUGUGUGUCAUUGUCGUAGUGGGUCAAAGUCGUUGUUAUCGAGGGUCGAAGUUAUUGUGGUGGUUAUCGUUGGUCGAAGUCGUCAUGGUUAUUGAGGGUCGAAGUUGUUGUCAUGGUUAUGGUUAUUGUGGGUCGAAGUUGUUGUUAUGUUUAUCGUUGGUCGAAGUCGUCAUGGUUGUCGAGGGUCGAAGUUGUUGUCAUGGUUAUCGUGGGUCGAAGUUGUUGUCAUGGUUAUCAUUGGUCGAAGUUGUUGUCAUGGUUAUCGAGGGUCGAAGUCAUUGCGGUUGCAGUUGUUGUGGUUGUCCUUGUCAAAGUUGUCGAAGUUGUUGUGUGUCAAAGUCAUCAUGUGUGGGUCGGUGGUCUGGUGGGGCUUGCUUUUUCUUUCCCUUCAAGGAAGCGUUAUCCUUACCUCUCCUUCUCCUUUUUUGUGUUUGUUACUCACU
Aplysia californica (California sea hare) is the source of this 3878-nucleotide long non-coding RNA. RefSeq lists it as uncharacterized. Lineage: Eukaryota; Metazoa; Mollusca; Gastropoda; Aplysiida; Aplysiidae. The transcript has 27 exons. The record is from RefSeq and is a predicted model, not a curated record.